GUCCAGUUGACCAAUAACAUGGUUGUUUGAAUUUGAAAUGGAGUGGGCGGAUCUGUGCAGCUUUCGAGCAAAACGUGGUGUGAGCAAACAUUAACGUAAUUUUAUACAGUCUAUGCUUGUAACUUUAUUUGCAAGACAGAUGGACUGUAGAGACCAGAAAAUGCAUACGUUUACGGUCCGUAUUGUUACAGGUUUGUCCAAAUUAAAGAUACCAUAAAUUCUAGUCAUGCCAGAGACGUUUGUCCUACAGAAGGACUCGUCAUAUGAGAUAACAAGGGCUGAAGCCAGUUGGAUCUAAAGUGCCAAGUUAUUCGUUAUCAGGUGAGUCCCAAAGCAUAUUGUUAAAUGAUUCUGAUGUAGCUUACUCUUUAUGACCUUCGGUAGUCUUUGGAGAAGUUAAAUUGAUGGCUUAGCAAUCUUUCAAUAGUUUGUUUUUAUCCUUGCUAGUACAAGCUAGCAAUGCCAGAUCACGUUAGCUAAUUUAGCUAAUGUUAACGUCAUAAACGUCGACCAGAUCCCUAUCAAGAAGAAAACUAACGUUACAUUAUUAUUGACAAGCGUUGGCUAGCACAAACGUUAGACAAACUAUGAUGGAAGAAAGUGUGUUCUUUAUUAAGCAACGUUUGCCUAAAGUUCACCAAUGUUCUUUAAUAUUAUAGUGUAGGCUAAGUUAACUCACAGAAAGGAGGAUGGUGCUAGGCUAGUCACACUUCACACUCAUUAGGCAUGCUAAUGACAUUGUAGCUGUUUUUUUCCUUUAAUCGUGGAGACAUCUUUUAAAAUGAGUCUACAGGAGAAAUUACAUGCAUUUUAUGAAGUAGAACAUUUUUUUCCACCAUUGAUAUUAGAGGGGGAAUUAAACCUGGUGUUCUACUAAGUUAGUGCUAUGAAGCUUAGGCUACAUGAUUGAUAUUAUGCCUUGGUUUAUGCGAUAGAUUUAGAUUUUUUUUAAUUAUUUGUGUUUGACAGAGCAUUCAAGUUCAUUUCAUAGUAGUGUUUGUAAUUUACCUAGUUUUAAUCUGUAGCCUAACUAUGUUUUUACAGGUGUUCCUGGACAGUUUUGAAACCGAGAUGUCUGAACGCCUCAAAUAAUCAGCAGUAAAGACAACAGAGACAAAUUCUCUAAUACCAAGGUCAAUGCAUUUGACUGCUGUCCAGCCCCGGGUUGCCACCGAAAACUUUAUGCAUCUUGGACUGGAAGAUGGUUUGCUAGUAAGGAAGCUAGCUACCACAGCCUUUGCCACCACAUCUCAGUGUUGGGAGAGAAGUUCACUCACUGCACAACUCUACCAGCUGUACCUUUCCUCCUCAGCCAUGAUCCGUAACCACCAUGGUUUUCUUUCUGGGCCAGAAGACUUUGCAAACAAAUAAGCAAUAAAUGAUCAUGCAUUA
Molecule: long non-coding RNA, 1392 nt
Organism: Alosa sapidissima (American shad)
Lineage: Eukaryota; Metazoa; Chordata; Actinopteri; Clupeiformes; Clupeidae
Exons: 2
Source: RefSeq, a predicted model, not a curated record